This 1347-nucleotide ribosomal RNA is filed under the name uncultured bacterium. RNAcentral's name for it is "partial 16S ribosomal RNA". It matches the Rfam family "Bacterial small subunit ribosomal RNA", at positions 43 to 1382 of the family's 1533-position model. The record is from RNAcentral.
CAGGCUUAACACAUGCAAGUCGAGGGGCAGCGGGGUAGUGCUUGCACUACUGCCGGCGACCGGCGCACGGGUGAGUAACACGUAUGGAACCUGCCCGCAGCAGGGGGAUAAGCGGAAGAAAUUCCGUCUAAUACCGCGUAACAACGUUGGGAGGCAUCUCCCGAUGUUUAAAGAUUUAUCGGCUGCGGAUGGCCAUGCGGCGCAUUAGCUAGUCGGCGGGGUAACGGCCCACCGAGGCGACGAUGCGUAGGGGUUCUGAGAGGAAGGUCCCCCACACUGGUACUGAGACACGGACCAGACUCCUACGGGAGGCAGCAGUGAGGAAUAUUGGUCAAUGGCCGAGAGGCUGAACCAGCCAAGCCGCGUGAGGGAAGACGGCCCUACGGGUUGUAAACCUCUUUUGUCGGGGAGCAAAGCGAACCACGUGUGGUUCAUUGAGAGUACCCGAAGAAAAAGCAUCGGCUAACUCCGUGCCAGCAGCCGCGGUAAUACGGAGGAUGCGAGCGUUAUCCGGAUUUAUUGGGUUUAAAGGGUGCGCAGGCGGAGGUGCAAGUCAGCGGUCAAAUUGCGGGGCUCAACCCCGUACUGCCGUUGAAACUGCAUCCCUUGAGUGCGCGAGAAGUAUGCGGAAUGCGUGGUGUAGCGGUGAAAUGCAUAGAUAUCACGCAGAACUCCGAUUGCGAAGGCAGCAUACCGGCGCGCAACUGACGCUCAUGCACGAAAGCGUGGGUAUCGAACAGGAUUAGAUACCCUGGUAGUCCACGCAGUAAACGAUGAACACUAACUGUUCGGCCAGAAUGAUGGCUGAGUGGUACAGCGAAAGCGUUAAGUGUUCCACCUGGGGAGUACGCCGGCAACGGUGAAACUCAAAGGAAUUGACGGGGGCCCGCACAAGCGGAGGAACAUGUGGUUUAAUUCGAUGAUACGCGAGGAACCUUACCCGGGCUCAAACGACACAGGAAUACUUUUGAAAGGAGGUAGCCCUACGGGGUCUGUGUCGAGGUGCUGCAUGGUUGUCGUCAGCUCGUGCCGUGAGGUGUCGGCUUAAGUGCCAUAACGAGCGCAACCCCUAUCGCCAGUUACCAUCAAGUAAAGUUGGGGACUCUGGCGAGACUGCCGGCGCAAGCUGAGAGGAAGGCGGGGAUGACGUCAAAUCAGCACGGCCCUUACGUCCGGGGCGACACACGUGUUACAAUGGCAGGUACAGAGAGAAGCCAGGUGGCGACACCGCGCGGAACUCGAAAGCCUGUCUCAGUUCGGAUCGGAGUCUGCAACCCGACUCCGUGAAGCUGGAUUCGCUAGUAAUCGCGCAUCAGCCAUGGCGCGGUGAAUACGUUCCCGGGCCUU